This is a non-coding RNA of Triticum aestivum (bread wheat), 135 nucleotides long. The record is from Rfam. NCBI's taxonomy places the organism in Eukaryota, Viridiplantae, Streptophyta, Magnoliopsida, Poales, Poaceae.
CUUGUACUCCCUCCGGCCGGAAAUACUUGUCAUCAAAAUGAAUAAAAGGGGAUGUAUCUAGAUGUAUUUUAGUUCUAGAUACAUCCCUUUUUGUCCAUUUUGAUGACAAGUAUUUUCGGACGGAGGGAAUAUCGA